Long non-coding RNA from Numida meleagris (helmeted guineafowl), 1225 nucleotides. RefSeq lists it as uncharacterized. Lineage: Eukaryota; Metazoa; Chordata; Aves; Galliformes; Numididae. The record is from RefSeq and is a predicted model, not a curated record. The transcript is spliced from 2 exons.
UAUACACAAAACAUGAGCCCUCUAAUUUUUAAAUGAACUUCCCAUCAAAACCUCCUAUGUGACAAACGUUUUAAAACUGACUUUAGUUCUCCUGUAUACUAAACUCUAACAGGGUUUGCUGAUCCAGUGCAAGAUCAAACACGAAGUACUCUGAUCAGAGGCAUGUCAAAAUAUUAAAGAACACAGUGACAGCUUGUACUGCUUUAUCAGUUAAAACCACAUUAUACAUCAACCACAACCUGUCUGGCUUGCGCAUUUGAUUAAAUUUCCUAUUCAGCAGUGACUCAUUCGUAUUCCAUGCUUGUCUGAAUGACAAAUUGAACAUUGUUUUGUAUUGCUACACGAUGUGUUAAUAAACAGUGCUGGAGAGACUUGAUCUGAAAGGUGCCGCACCAUUGUCACUGCUAGAAUAGAGACUGAUCUCAAAGCUGCAAAGCAUUGCUAGCUGUGCACUGAGACAGCUGCUCACACCUACAGCCAGAAAUCUUCUCAACAGGUUGGCGUAGGUUGUUGGACCAUACAGGAGAACGGAAGAGCGCACACAAUGUUUCUUGAGUACAAUGUUGCUAGCGCAAGCAUGCUUAUCUGCCAAAGACACUCUCCAUUCCUUCUAGCUGUUAAUGGCUACAGAGUAAAGCCCCACUCUUCCCUUUUCCCAUUCUGUGUAAGAAACAAAAUGCCAAGCUUCAUAGCAGACUGGAACUGGAAAAAUUCUCUUUCUCCUUCAGACAGAGAGAUGAUACAGGACUCACUGAGCCUGACGUGUCUAAUUCAUCAGCAGAGGACCAUGAGGACAAAUCCUAAAUUCAGAAGGAAUGGAGAUCAGACCAUCUGUUCAGGCAAGCAAACUCAAAAAACCCAACAAUCCCAGACUGAAAUCUCUGCUGAGUUAUUUCCAAAGGAAAACAAAACAAACAAAAAGAGCAGUUAAUAUUUGUUAGCAAUUUUUACAAGAUUCAGGAAUUACAUGUUUUCUCUGUUGGCCCUGAAGAAAAACAAACAUAGUUAAAAGUUAAUUGUUUCAGGUGAAGCAUUUUCUGCCAAGGACAAUACAAAGAAAAAGUAGUUUGUUUUUUAUUGGGUUUUAACCACCACAAGAGGUGGGAACCAUCAUGAUUUUACUCCAACAGACAAAAACUCACUAGAAGCAAAAAUAGCUAAGUUCUCACAAUUUAUGAACUCUGCUAAUCACAGACUAUAAAUAAAAUGUAGAGUUUGAAACUAA